UAAGGAAUAUUGCUCAAUGGGAGAAAUCCUGAAGCAGCAACGCCGCGUGGAGGAUGAAGGGUCUAUGACAUGUAAACUCCUGUAAAGAAGGAAAAAAUUCCCAUUAGAUGGGAGAUGAUGGUACUUCUGGAGUAAGCCCCGGCUAACUACGUGCCAGCAGCCGCGGUAAUACGUAGGGGGCAAGCGUCGUCCGGAUUUACUGGGUGUAAAGGGUGCUCAGGCGGAUUUGUAAGUCAGAGGUGAAAUCUUACAGCUUAACUGUGAAACUGCCUUUGAUACUGCAAGCCUAGAGUAUGGAAGAGAGUGAUGGAAUAUCUGGUGUAGCAGUGAAAUGCGUAGAUAUCAGAUAGAACACCAAUGGCGAAGGCAGUCACUUGGUCCAUUACUGACGCUAAAGCACGAAAGCGUGGGUAGCAAACA
This 420-nucleotide ribosomal RNA is filed under the name uncultured bacterium. RNAcentral's name for it is "bacterial SSU rRNA". It matches the Rfam family "Bacterial small subunit ribosomal RNA", at positions 355 to 774 of the family's 1533-position model. The record is from RNAcentral.